RNAcentral lists this unclassified non-coding RNA (392 nucleotides) under soil metagenome. RNAcentral's name for it is "partial contains 5.8S ribosomal RNA, internal transcribed spacer 2, and large subunit ribosomal RNA". The stretch from base 1 to 122 matches the Rfam family "5.8S ribosomal RNA", at positions 35 to 154 of the family's 154-position model. The record is from RNAcentral.
GAUGAAGAACGUAGCGAAAUGCGAUACUUGGUGUGAAUUGCAGAAUCCCGUGAACCAUCGAGUCUUUGAAUGCAAGUUGCGCCCGAAGCCAUUAGGCCGAGGGCACGCCUGCCUGGGCGUCACACGUCGUUGCCCCCCCCAUCUACUCCUUCGGGAUUGCGGGGGGCGGAUGAUGGCCUCCCGUGCGCCUCGCCGCGCGGUUGGCAUAAAUGCCAAGUCCUCGGCGACGCACGCCACGACAAUCGGUGGUUGCGAAACCUCGGUUGCCCGUCGUGUGCGGUCGUCGCGCAUCGAGGGCUCGAAAAAAUUGCCGAGUUCCGGCUCGGCUUUCAACGCGACCCCAGGUCAGGCGGGGUUACCCGCUGAAUUUAAGCAUAUCAAUAAGCGGAGGA